This 253-nucleotide ribosomal RNA is filed under the name uncultured bacterium. RNAcentral's name for it is "partial 16S ribosomal RNA". It matches the Rfam family "Bacterial small subunit ribosomal RNA", at positions 524 to 776 of the family's 1533-position model. The record is from RNAcentral.
UACGGGGGGGGCAAGCGUUGUUCGGAAUUACUGGGCGUAAAGGGCUCGUAGGCGGCCAACUAAGUCGGAUGUGAAAUCCCCAGGCUCAACCUGGGAACUGCAUCCGAUACUGGAUGGCUUGAAUUCGGGAGAGGGAUGCAGAAUUCCAGGUGUAGCGGUGAAAUGCGUAGAUAUCUGGAGGAACACCGGUGGCGAAGGCGGCAUCCUGGACCAAUAUUGACGCUGAGGAGCGAAAGCCAGGGGAGCAAACGGG